Molecule: ribosomal RNA, 465 nt
Filed under: uncultured bacterium
Lineage: Bacteria
Description: bacterial SSU rRNA
Rfam family: Bacterial small subunit ribosomal RNA
Source: RNAcentral
CCAGACUCCUACGGGAGGCAGCAGUGAGGAAUAUUGGUCAAUGGCCGUAAGGCUGAACCAGCCAAGUAGCGUGAGGGACGACGGUCCUAUGGAUUGUAAACCUCUUUUGUCGGGGAACAAAGGCGCCCACGGGUGGGCGGAUGAGUGUACCCGAAGAAAAAGCAUCGGCUAACUCCGUGCCAGCAGCCGCGGUAAUACGGAGGAUGCGAGCGUUAUCCGGAUUUAUUGGGUUUAAAGGGUGCGUAGGCGGAAUAUCAAGUCAGCGGUAAAAAUUCGGGGCUCAACCCCGUCGUGCCGUUGAAACUGAUGUUCUUGAGUGGGCGAGAAGUAUGCGGAAUGCGUAGUGUAGCGGUGAAAUGCAUAGAUAUCACGCAGAACUCCGAUUGCGAAGGCAGCAUACCGGCGCGCAACUGACGCUCAUGCACGAAAGCGUGGGUAUCGAACAGGAUUAGAUACCCCAGUAGU